RNAcentral lists this long non-coding RNA (241 nucleotides) under Elaeis guineensis (African oil palm). Its description in RNAcentral is "long non-coding RNA (EGUI_LNC010825)". Lineage: Eukaryota; Viridiplantae; Streptophyta; Magnoliopsida; Arecales; Arecaceae. The record is from RNAcentral.
GCUGGAAUUAACGCUAUGGUAGAUAUCAUUGUGAGCUGAAACCUGGCGUCAAUAUCGGGACAGCUGUGGACUCGCGGUCAGGACAUCUCAAUAUACUGUCUCGGUAGGAGACCACUUCUCAUGUGGGCUACAGGACGAAGUUUGCUGUAGUUGAAAAGAGCUGGGCACCAACUUUUAGCCAUGCUUUGGUGGUGCAACCUUUCCCACAGUCCCAGCCUCCCUGUCUGCCAUUGUCAAGUCC